Molecule: ribosomal RNA, 497 nt
Filed under: uncultured bacterium
Lineage: Bacteria
Description: partial 16S ribosomal RNA
Rfam family: Bacterial small subunit ribosomal RNA
Source: RNAcentral
GACGAACGCUGGCGGCGUGCCUAAUACAUGCAAGUGAAGGCCGAAAGGUUGUUCCUUGUACCAACUGGAUGAGCAGCGAACGGGUGAGUAAGGCGUGGGGAUUCUGCUUUUGACGGGGGGCCAACAUUUGGAAACGAAUGUUAUUCCCGCUUAAAACCUUUAAACACAGUUUUUAAGUUUGAAAGAUGCAAUUCCAUACCUAAAAGUUGAUCCCGCGUUGUAUUAGCUAGUUGGUGAGGUAAAGGCCCACCAAGGCGAUGAUACAUAGCCGACCUGAGAGGGUGAUCGGCCACAUUGGGACUGAGACACGGCCCAAACUCCUACGGGAGGCAGCAGUAGGGAAUCUUCGGCAAUGGACGAAAGUCUGACCGAGCAACGCCGCGUGAGUGAAGAAGGUUUUCGGAUCGUAAAACUCUGUUGGUAGAGAAGAACGUUGGUGAGAGUGGAAAGCUCAUCAAGUGACGGUAACUACCCAGAAAGGGACGGCUAACUACGUG